GGGAAGCAAGACCGCGAGGUGGAGCAAAACCCUAAAAAAUGGUCUCAGUUCGGAUUGCAGGCUGCAACCCGCCUGCAUGAAGUUGGAAUUGCUAGUAAUCGCGGAUCAGCAUGCCGCGGUGAAUACGUUCCCUGGCCUUGUACACACCGCCCGUCACACCAUGGGAGCCGGUAAUACCCGAAGUCAGUAGCCUAACCGCAAGGGGGGCGCUGCCGAAGGUAGGAUUGGCGACUGGGGUGAAGUCGUAACAAGGUAUC
RNAcentral lists this ribosomal RNA (257 nucleotides) under uncultured bacterium. RNAcentral's name for it is "partial 16S ribosomal RNA". It matches the Rfam family "Bacterial small subunit ribosomal RNA", at positions 1244 to 1500 of the family's 1533-position model. The record is from RNAcentral.